RNAcentral lists this ribosomal RNA (253 nucleotides) under uncultured bacterium. RNAcentral's name for it is "partial 16S ribosomal RNA". It matches the Rfam family "Bacterial small subunit ribosomal RNA", at positions 524 to 776 of the family's 1533-position model. The record is from RNAcentral.
UACAGAGGUCCCAAGCGUUGUUCGGAUUCAUUGGGCGUAAAGGGUGCGUAGGCGGUGCCGCAAGUCAGAUGUGAAAUCUCGGGGCUUAACCCCGAAACUGCAUUUGAUACUGCGGUGCUCGAGGACUGGAGAGGAGACUGGAAUUCACGGUGUAGCAGUGAAAUGCGUAGAUAUCGUGAGGAAGGCCAGUGGCGAAGGCGGCUAACUGGUCCAGUACUGACGCUGAGGUGCGAAAGCGUGGGGAGCAAACAGG